Quercus lobata is the source of this 1428-nucleotide RNA transcript. It is a transcript of the gene named PGR5-like A protein, with no coding region annotated. Lineage: Eukaryota; Viridiplantae; Streptophyta; Magnoliopsida; Fagales; Fagaceae. The record is from RefSeq and is a predicted model, not a curated record. The transcript has 7 exons.
CACAGGCAAAUAGAUAUUUACGCGGGAAAGCGAACCACAGCCUCCACUCUAAUUCUAAUUCUAAUAUUCCAAUCUUGUGGCCCAAAAUGGAAAAACUCAUUCGGCUCUCUCUGACCGUAAAAAUAUCCUAACCGCACGUUUAGUUAGUUACUCUUUCCCAAAAAGCCUUUUGCCUCCCAAGUCAACUACCACAGUAGCUUAGCUCCCAACGGUUUGGUUUGGUUCGGUUCGGUUGAUGGCUGGCACGAGUGCCUCCUUCGUCCCGCACGUGGUCGGAUCAUCUAAAGUUCUCAAACUUUCCAGAAUUAACCGGUGGACCGGAGCUCCGUUCUCAGUUCGGAUCUCCACCAAACCCAACAGAUCCACCACCAACUGCUCCUGCGCAAACACGGAGGCUCCCUCUUGCAUCUUCGUGGGUCCCAUCGAGUCCGCCAGUAAAGAAACCCUUGAAGCUCUCUAUCGCCAAGCACAGGAUGCGUAUUACAGUGGCAAACCUUUGAUAAUUGAUGACAUGUUUGAUAGAGUAGAGUUAAAGCUAAGGUGGUAUGGUUCCAAAUCAGUUGUCAAGUAUCCUCGGUGUAGUCUUAGGCGGCAUUCAACCUACGCAGAUGCAGAGGGCAGGAAGAUAUAUCACAGGUUUUUGCAUUAGCGAGCAUAUGGGUCCUGUUUCUUGCAUUUGGAAGCUCUGCAUGUCUUCUGCCUAUAAUCUACACUGUUGGCCAAGCAAAUCAACAUGCAUUCAGUUCAGGAUUUUACUAUGGCAUUCAAGCAUCCACAUUAGAGCUUCUUUCCGUGGUGAAUGGCAUUCUCUUCAUGGCAUUGGGGUCUGUGAUUGGCUACCCAAUUGCAACAGCUUCAGUUAAAGUGCUUCAAGGCCUGUGGAGGAAUGACUUGGUAGCACUUAAAGGGGCAUGCCCAAAUUGCGGGGAGGAGGUGUUUGCAUUUGUGAAAACAAAUCAGACUAAUAACAGGCCCCAUAGAGCAGAUUGUCAUGUUUGUGAAUGCUUAUUGGAAUUCCGCACCAAGGUUGAGCGAUCGGUUUCAAGACUAGGUAGAGGAUGGGUUUACGGCCGCGUAUACCUUGUUUCACGAAGAGGCAGAAAUCGGCAUCAGAAAUGGUUUUAAGAUCUAUGCCCAGUAUAUUAGAUCUCAGAAGAUUUAUGUGAAGUAAAACUAUUCUUUACUCUUUUUCUAGGGUGAAAUGGUGGUUAAUCCUAAGUUAGGAUUAUCCUAACGAAGAUUCAUUUUGCUACAAGUCAGUAGACAGCUGGACUUCAUAUAUUGUAAUUAACAACAAAUAAGAUUCUCUUGAGAUUUAAGUUAUAGUCAAGUGCCAUACAUUCAGAAAAGCAAUAGCUAUUUUGGUUCUUCAGGUUUCUUUUCAUGGGAUUGUUAGCUAGUUAAUUAAAGGUAUCAUAGUCAUGCUCA